GGGGAAUUGUCCCAGUUUGGGGGGAAUUGUCCCAGUUUGGGGGGAAUUGUCCCAGUUUGGGGGGGAAUUGUCCCAGUUUGGUGGGAAUUGUCCCAGUUUGGUGGGAAUUGUCCCAGUUUGAGGGGGAAUUGUCCCAGUUUGGGGGAAUUGUCCCAGUUUGGGGGGGAAUUGUCCCAGUUUGGUGGGAAUUGUCCCAGUUUGGUGGGAAUUGUCCCAGUUUGGGGGGGAAUUGUCCCAGUUUGGGGGGGAAUUGUCCCAGUUUGGGGGUGCUGUCCCAGUUUGGGGGGAAUUGUCCCAGUUUGGGGGUGCUGUCCCAGUUUGUUGGGAAUUGUCCCAGUUUGGGGGGAAUUGUCCCAGUUUGGUGGGAAUUGUCCCAGUUUGGGGCGCUGGGGGCACUGGUUUGGUUUGGGGGCGCUGGGGGGCUCCGGGCUGGGCAUGGCCCCAGUUUGGCUGGUGGGGGCCGGCAGCCCCCGGAUUUGGGAUCAUUCGGGAUCGUUUGGGAUCAUUCGGGAUCAUUUGGGAUUUGGGAUUUGGGGCUGGAGCCGCGUGUCCGUGUCCCUGUCCCUGUCCCUGUCCCUGUCCCCGUCCCUGCUCCGGCUGCUCCCGGUUUCCCCUGGAUUUGGCUGGUUUGGAAUUCCCAGGAAUUCCCAGGAUCGGCCACUCCGUGUCCAUCCGGCUCCUGAUGGGGACAUUUCGGAGCGGGGACAUCCCGGGGUCGGAGCAUUCCGGGGUCGGAAUAUCUGGAACAUUCCGGGAUCGGCUCAUCCCAGGGUCGGAACAUCUGCUGGAANNNNNNNNNNGAACAUUCCGGGAUCGGCUCAUCCCAGGGUCGGAACAUCUGCUGGAAUGUUCCGGGAUUGGAUCUUUCCAGUGUUGGAACAUCUUCUGGAAUGUUCCAAUGUUGGAUCAUUCCGGUGUCGGAACAUCUGCUGGAACAUUCCAGGAUCAGAGCAUUCCGGUGUUGGAACAUCUUCUAGAACAUUCCGGGAUUGCAUCUUUCCAGUGUCGGAGCAUCUUCUGGAACGUUCCGGGAUCGGCUCAUUCUGGUGUUGGAAUAUCUGCUGGAAGGUUCCGGUGUCGGAUCAUUCCAGUGUUGGAACAUCUGCUGGAACAUUCUGGGAUUGGAGCAUUACUGUGUUGGAACAUCUUCUGGAACGUUCCGGGAUUGGCUCAUUCAGGUGUUGGAACAUCUGCUGGAACAUUCCAGGAUCGGAUCAUUCCAGCGUUGGAACAUCUGCUGGAACGUUCGGGUGUCGGAGCAUUCCGGUGUCAGAACAUCUGGAAUGUUCCGGUGUCAGAUCAUUCCAGUGUUGGAACAUCUUCUGGAACGUUCCGGUGUCAGAUCAUUGCGGUGUCGCAACAUCUGCUGGAAUGUUCCGGAAUUGGAUCAUUCCAGUAUUGGAACAUCUGCUGGAACAUUCCAGGAUCGGAUCAUUCCAGUGUCGGAACAUCUGGAACGUUCCGGUGUCGGAUCAUUCCAGUGUUGGAUCAUUCCAGUUCUGGAUCCCUCCGAUCUUGGAGCAUCCCAAUAAUGGAGCAUCCCCAGGCUGGGACAUUCCGGGAUUGGAGCAUCCCGGUGUGGGACCAUCGCAGUGCUGAACAUCCCAGUGUGGGAUCUGUGGGAUCUUCUGUGGGAUCUUCUGUGGGNNNNNNNNNNGGGAUCUUCUGUGGGAUCAUCCCAGUGUUGGGAUCUUCUGUGGGAUCCACCGCCGUGGGAUCGUCCCAGUACCGGAGCAUUCCCGUGGUGGAACAUUCCGGUACCGGAGCUUCCUGGUCCCAGAGCGUCCCAGUGCCGGAGCAUCCCCGUGGGGACAUCCCAGUGUUGAUUCAUCCCAGUCCCAGUUUAUCCCAGUCCAUCCCAGUUUAUUCCAGUCCCAGUUUAUCCCAGUUUAUCCCAGUUUAUCCUGGUCCCAGUUUAUCCCAGUUUAUCCCAGUCUCAGUCCAUCCCAGUUUAUCCCAGUCCAUCCUAGUCCCAGUUUAUCCCAGUCCCAGUUUAUCCCAGUUUACCCCAGUUUAUCCCAGUCCCAGUUUAUCCCAGUUUAUCCCAGUUUAUCCCGGUCCCGGCCCACCCCGAGGGGAAACUGAGGCAGGCUGCGGGCGGAGCGGGUGGCAGUGGCAGUGUUGGGGUCCCGCUGCGCCCCCGGGAGGGAAUUGGGGGGGCCGAGUCCCCCCUUUGGGACCCCCCCCCCAGUUUGGAGCUGCUUUUGGUCCUGUUUGGUGAGAAAAGCCCCAAAAAGGGUCCCGGGGGGGGUGGUGGGGGGGUCCUUUUGGGGGUCCCCCAGGGUGGGCACGACCCCCCAAAAACGGAGCGGCUGCGGGGGGGGGGGGGGGGGGGG
Molecule: long non-coding RNA, 2336 nt
Filed under: Chloebia gouldiae (Gouldian finch)
Lineage: Eukaryota; Metazoa; Chordata; Aves; Passeriformes; Passeridae
Description: Erythrura gouldiae (Gouldian finch) lncRNA (ENSEGOG00005017366.1)
Source: RNAcentral